RNAcentral lists this ribosomal RNA (253 nucleotides) under uncultured bacterium. RNAcentral's name for it is "partial 16S ribosomal RNA". It matches the Rfam family "Bacterial small subunit ribosomal RNA", at positions 524 to 776 of the family's 1533-position model. The record is from RNAcentral.
UACGGGGGGGGCAAGCGUUGUUCGGAAUUACUGGGCGUAAAGGGCGCGUAGGUGGCCUUCUAAGUUGAACGUGAAAUCCCUGGGCUCAACCCAGGAACUGCGUCCAAGACUGGGAGGCUUGAAUCCGGGAGAGGGAUGCGGAGUUCCAGGUGUAGCGGUGAAAUGCGUAGAUAUCUGGAGGAACACCGGUGGCGAAGGCGGCAUCCUGGACCGGUAUUGACACUGAGGCGCGAAAGCCAGGGGAGCAAACGGG